GGGGAGCGCCCGAUCUUGCGCAGUGUCCCCGGCGCCCUGUGCUCCCGGGCCUGCCCUGUUGGAAUCACGCUCCUGGUGGUGCAGCUCCCU
Molecule: microRNA precursor, 90 nt
Filed under: Canis lupus familiaris (dog)
Lineage: Eukaryota; Metazoa; Chordata; Mammalia; Carnivora; Canidae
Description: mir-8799 microRNA precursor family
Rfam family: mir-8799 microRNA precursor family
Source: Rfam by way of RNAcentral